AUUGAACGCUGGCGGCAGGCUUAACACAUGCAAGUCGAGCGGUAGCACAGGGGAGCUUGCUCCCUGGGUGACGAGCGGCGGACGGGUGAGUAAUGUCUGGGAAACUGCCUGAUGGAGGGGGAUAACUACUGGAAACGGUAGCUAAUACCGCAUAACGUCGCAAGACCAAAGAGGGGGACCUUCGGGCCUCUUGCCAUCAGAUGUGCCCAGAUGGGAUUAGCUAGUAGGUGGGGUAAUGGCUCACCUAGGCGACGAUCCCUAGCUGGUCUGAGAGGAUGACCAGCCACACUGGAACUGAGACACGGUCCAGACUCCUACGGGAGGCAGCAGUGGGGAAUAUUGCACAAUGGGCGCAAGCCUGAUGCAGCCAUGCCGCGUGUGUGAAGAAGGCCUUCGGGUUGUAAAGCACUUUCAGUGAGGAGGAAGGUGGUGAGCUUAAUACGCUCAUCAAUUGACGUUACUCGCAGAAGAAGCACCGGCUAACUCCGUG
This 490-nucleotide ribosomal RNA is filed under the name uncultured bacterium. Its description in RNAcentral is "partial 16S ribosomal RNA". It matches the Rfam family "Bacterial small subunit ribosomal RNA", at positions 30 to 507 of the family's 1533-position model. The record is from RNAcentral.